Long non-coding RNA from Nicotiana attenuata, 338 nucleotides. RefSeq lists it as uncharacterized. NCBI's taxonomy places the organism in Eukaryota, Viridiplantae, Streptophyta, Magnoliopsida, Solanales, Solanaceae. The record is from RefSeq and is a predicted model, not a curated record. The transcript has 3 exons.
UUUGUCAAAUGCUAAUUAUAUAAAUUCUUUUAAUAUAUUAAUACAUUUUGGCUGACAAGUUGUAUCUUGGAGAGAAACAAACUCUCCAGCCGGACAUCUUGAGCUCCUCAUUUUCCAUUCAAGUUCACUUCGUCCUAUUCAAGUUCACUUCGUCCCAGCUCAGUUUAAGUUCGAUUCAACUCAUCUUGAUUUGGGUAACUGUUUCCGGAUGGAAACUAUACCUUCUAGACUGGAUAUGGAGAUUGUCACGACCCAAAUUCCAUUAAAGGUCGUCAUGGCGUCGGCCAGCACUGUCAGAUACAAGUGGAUUGGUGGUGGAAUCGAGAGGUAAAGUGGUA